UACGUAGGUGGCAAGCGUUGUCCGGAUUUACUGGGUGUAAAGGGCGUGCAGCCGGGAGUGCAAGUCAGAUGUGAAAUCCCGCGGCUCAACCGCGGAACUGCAUUUGAAACUGUGCUUCUUGAGUGCUGGAGAGGCAGACGGAAUUCCUAGUGUAGCGGUGAAAUGCUUAGAGAUCAUACAGAACACCGAUUGCGAAGGCAGCUUACCAAGCUACUUCUGACGUUGAGGCACGAAAGCGUGGGGAGCAAACAGG
This 253-nucleotide ribosomal RNA is filed under the name uncultured Oscillospiraceae bacterium. Its description in RNAcentral is "partial 16S ribosomal RNA". It matches the Rfam family "Bacterial small subunit ribosomal RNA", at positions 524 to 776 of the family's 1533-position model. The record is from RNAcentral. Lineage: Bacteria; Bacillati; Bacillota; Clostridia; Eubacteriales; Oscillospiraceae.